AUUAAGUUAGCAAAAAGAAAUGUGUUUGAUUUAGGAUCAAAAGGUAGAGGGAACUUUACUUAAUA
This 65-nucleotide transfer RNA is filed under the name Chaetoderma nitidulum. Its description in RNAcentral is "tRNA-Leu". It matches the Rfam family "tRNA". Rfam says of the family: Transfer RNA (tRNA) molecules are approximately 80 nucleotides in length. Their secondary structure includes four short double-helical elements and three loops (D, anti-codon, and T loops). Further hydrogen bonds mediate the characteristic L-shaped molecular structure. tRNAs have two regions of fundamental functional importance: the anti-codon, which is responsible for specific mRNA codon recognition, and the 3' end, to which the tRNAs corresponding amino acid is attached (by aminoacyl-tRNA synthetases). tRNAs cope with the degeneracy of the genetic code in two manners: having more than one tRNA (with a specific anti-codon) for a particular amino acid; and 'wobble' base-pairing, i.e. permitting non-standard base-pairing at the 3rd anti-codon position. Lineage: Eukaryota; Metazoa; Mollusca; Caudofoveata; Chaetodermatida; Chaetodermatidae. The record is from RNAcentral.